RNAcentral lists this ribosomal RNA (271 nucleotides) under uncultured bacterium. RNAcentral's name for it is "partial 16S ribosomal RNA". It matches the Rfam family "Bacterial small subunit ribosomal RNA", at positions 524 to 794 of the family's 1533-position model. The record is from RNAcentral.
UACGAAGGGUGCAAGCGUUAAUCGGAAUUACUGGGCGUAAAGCGCGCGUAGGUGGUUUGUUAAGUUGGAUGUGAAAGCCCUGGGCUCAACCUGGGAACUGCAUUCGAUACUGUCGAGCUAGAGUGUGGGAGAGGGUGGUGGAAUUCCCGGUGUAGCGGUGAAAUGCGUAGAUAUCGGGAGGAACAUCAGUGGCGAAGGCGACUCCCUGGCACCAUACUGACGCUGAGGCACGAAAGCGUGGGGAUCAAACAGGAUUAGAUACCCUGGUAGU